This 253-nucleotide ribosomal RNA is filed under the name uncultured bacterium. RNAcentral describes it as "partial 16S ribosomal RNA". It matches the Rfam family "Bacterial small subunit ribosomal RNA", at positions 524 to 776 of the family's 1533-position model. The record is from RNAcentral.
UACGGAGGACCCAAGCGCUAUCCGGAAUUAUUGGGCGUAAAGCGUCCGUAGGUGGUUGGCCAAGUCUGCUGUCAAAGGGUGGGGCUUAACCUCAUAAAGGCAGUGGAAACUGGCGAGCUAGAGUGCGGUAGGGGUAGGGGGAAGUCCCAGUGUAGCGGUGAAAUGCGUAGAGAUUGGGAAGAACAUCGGUGGCGAAAGCGCCCUGCUGGGCCUGCACUGACACUGAGGGACGAAAGCUAGGGGAGCGAAAGGG